Molecule: ribosomal RNA, 773 nt
Filed under: uncultured Neocallimastigales
Lineage: Eukaryota; Fungi; Neocallimastigomycota; Neocallimastigomycetes; Neocallimastigales
Description: partial large subunit ribosomal RNA
Rfam family: Eukaryotic large subunit ribosomal RNA
Source: RNAcentral
CGCAUCUGUGCAUGCAGCAUAUCAAUAGCGGAGGAAAAGAAACUAACAAGGAUUCCCCUAGUAACGGCGAGUGAAGCGGGAAGAGCUCAAAUUUGAAAUCUUAAAGGGUUUCCCUUUACGAAUUGUAGUUUAAAGAAGUGUUUUCUGUUGAGGUUUUGGUAAAAGUUCUUUGGAAUAGGACAUCAUAGAGGGUGAGAAUCCCGUAUUUGACCUUUACUUUCAACUUUGUGAUACACUUUCAAAGAGUCGGAUUGUUUGGGAAUGCAGUCCAAAAUGGGUGGUAAAUUUCAUCUAAAGCUAAAUAUUGGCGAGAGACCGAUAGCGAACAAGUACCGUGAGGGAAAGAUGAAAAGAACUUUGAAAAGAGAGUUAAACAGUACGUGAAAUUGUCAAAAGGGAAGCGUUUGACACCAGUGUUGUUUUUCUGAAAAUCAAUUAAAGAACUGUUUAUGCUAAGCUGUUUAGACUUUAUCAGCUAUCUGUUUAGUUUUGAGCUUUUCUUUAAUGCACUUUUCAGUUAACAAGUCAACAUCAAUUUCUUUUGCUGUAAAAAAGCUUGAGGAAGGUGGCUUGAGAUUCGUCUUAAGUGUUUAUAGCCUCUUGCCUAUGCAGUCGGAGAGAUUGAGGUCUGCAGCGUAGAUCCUUCGGGGCUAAAUGCAUUUGUGCUAAGUUAUAGCAUUUUAUAGACAACUUGUUGACUAUGAUUUGUCUUGUAGCUUACUCGCUUAUGUUAUUUUACCUACGCUUAGGAUGUUGAAUCUGUGCGAGACUAC